Molecule: ribosomal RNA, 481 nt
Filed under: uncultured bacterium
Lineage: Bacteria
Description: bacterial SSU rRNA
Rfam family: Bacterial small subunit ribosomal RNA
Source: RNAcentral
AUCGUAACUCCUACGGGAGGCAGCAGUGGGGAAUCUUCCGCAAUGGGCGAAAGCCUGAUGGAGCAACGCCGCGUGGGUGUAGAAGGUCUUCGGAUCGUAAAACCCUGUUGUCAGAGAAGAAAGUGCAUGAGAGUAACUGUUCAUGUUUCGACGGUAUCUGACCAGAAAGCCACGGCUAACUACGUGCCAGCAGCCGCGGUAAUACGUAGGUGGCAAGCGUUAUCCGGAUUUAUUGGGCGUAAAGGGAACGCAGGCGGUCUUUUAAGUCUGAUGUGAAAGCCUUCGGCUUAACCGGAGUAGUGCAUUGGAAACUGGGAGACUUGAGUGCAGAAGAGGAGAGUGGAACUCCAUGUGUAGCGGUGAAAUGCGUAGAUAUAUGGAAGAACACCAGUGGCGAAAGCGGCUCUCUGGUCUGUAACUGACGCUGAGGUUCGAAAGCGUGGGUAGCAAACAGGAUUAGAAACCCCGGUAGUCCUAGAGC